This 227-nucleotide long non-coding RNA is filed under the name Mytilus galloprovincialis (Mediterranean mussel). The record is from RNAcentral. Lineage: Eukaryota; Metazoa; Mollusca; Bivalvia; Mytilida; Mytilidae.
CUGUAAUUAGUUAAUACUUCAGUUUUAUCAUAUAUCUUUUGUAUAGUCAUUUUAUAAAAUUUACUGUUUGCAAAAGUAUAAAUUAUUCUAAAUAAUAGGGAUGUUCUGGUACCUAACAGAAAACCCUGGCCGUUUUUGGUACAACUUUUUUGAACUUUUGGUCCUCGAUGCUGUUCAACUUUGUACUUGUUUCGGCUUUCAAACUUUUGUAUCUGGGCGUCACUAGU